This 165-nucleotide small nuclear RNA is filed under the name Ornithorhynchus anatinus (platypus). Its description in RNAcentral is "U1 spliceosomal RNA (ENSOANG00000036351.1, ENSOANG00000047120.1)". It matches the Rfam family "U1 spliceosomal RNA". Rfam says of the family: U1 is a small nuclear RNA (snRNA) component of the spliceosome (involved in pre-mRNA splicing). Its 5' end forms complementary base pairs with the 5' splice junction, thus defining the 5' donor site of an intron. The record is from Rfam by way of RNAcentral. Lineage: Eukaryota; Metazoa; Chordata; Mammalia; Monotremata; Ornithorhynchidae.
CUACUUACCUGGCAGGGGAGACACCAUGAUCACGUAGGUGGUUUUCCCAGGGUGAGGCUCCGCCAUUGCACUUUGGGCUGUGCUGACCCCUGCGAUUUCCCCAAGUGCGGGAAACUCGACUGCAUAAUUGGUGGUAGUGGGGGACUGCGUUCGCACUCUCCCCUG